GACGAACGCUGGCGGCGUGCUUAACACAUGCAUGUCGAACGGAAAGGCCCUGCUUUUGUGGGGUGCUCGAGUGGCGAACGGGUGAGUAACACGUGAGUAACCUGCCCUUGACUUUGGGAUAACUUCAGGAAACUGGGGCUAAUACCGGAUAGGAGCUCCUGCUGCAUGGUGGGGGUUGGAAAGUUUCGGCGGUUGGGGAUGGACUCGCGGCUUAUCAGCUUGUUGGUGGGGUAGUGGCUUACCAAGGCUUUGACGGGUAGCCGGCCUGAGAGGGUGACCGGCCACAUUGGGACUGAGAUACGGCCCAGACUCCUACGGGAGGCAGCAGUGGGGAAUAUUGCACAAUGGGCGGAAGCCUGAUGCAGCAACGCCGCGUGCGGGAUGACGACCUUCGGGUUGUAAACCGCUUUCGCCUGUGACGAAGCGUGAGUGACGGUAAUGGGUAAAGAAGCACCGGCUAACUACGUG
RNAcentral lists this ribosomal RNA (468 nucleotides) under uncultured bacterium. Its description in RNAcentral is "partial 16S ribosomal RNA". It matches the Rfam family "Bacterial small subunit ribosomal RNA", at positions 28 to 507 of the family's 1533-position model. The record is from RNAcentral.